This 2646-nucleotide ribosomal RNA is filed under the name Salmonella enterica subsp. enterica serovar Enteritidis. Its description in RNAcentral is "partial 23S ribosomal RNA". It matches the Rfam family "Bacterial large subunit ribosomal RNA". The record is from RNAcentral. Lineage: Bacteria; Pseudomonadati; Pseudomonadota; Gammaproteobacteria; Enterobacterales; Enterobacteriaceae.
AGUGUGACUCGUCACACUAUCAUUAACUGAAUCCAUAGGUUAAUGAGGCGAACCGGGGGAACUGAAACAUCUAAGUACCCCGAGGAAAAGAAAUCAACCGAGAUUCCCCCAGUAGCGGCGAGCGAACGGGGAGGAGCCCAGAGCCUGAAUCAGCAUGUGUGUUAGUGGAAGCGUCUGGAAAGGCGCGCGAUACAGGGUGACAGCCCCGUACACAAAAGCGCAUGUGCUGUGAGCUCGAUGAGUAGGGCGGGACACGUGGUAUCCUGUCUGAAUAUGGGGGGACCAUCCUCCAAGGCUAAAUACUCCUGACUGACCGAUAGUGAACCAGUACCGUGAGGGAAAGGCGAAAAGAACCCCGGCGAGGGGAGUGAAAAAGAACCUGAAACCGUGUACGUACAAGCAGUGGGAGCACCCUUUGGGUGUGACUGCGUACCUUUUGUAUAAUGGGUCAGCGACUUAUAUUCUGUAGCAAGGUUAACCGAAUAGGGGAGCCGGAGGGAAACCGAGUCUUAACCGGGCGUUAAGUUGCAGGGUAUAGACCCGAAACCCGGUGAUCUAGCCAUGGGCAGGUUGAAGGUUGGGUAACACUAACUGGAGGACCGAACCGACUAAUGUUGAAAAAUUAGCGGAUGACCUGUGGCUGGGGGUGAAAGGCCAAUCAAACCGGGAGAUAGCUGGUUCUCCCCGAAAGCUAUUUAGGUAGCGCCUCGUGAAUUCAUCUCCGGGGGUAGAGCACUGUUUCGGCUAGGGGGCCAUCCCGGCUUACCAACCCGAUGCAAACUGCGAAUACCGGAGAAUGUUAUCACGGGAGACACACGGCGGGUGCUAACGUCCGUCGUGAAGAGGGAAACAACCCAGACCGCCAGCUAAGGUCCCAAAGUCAUGGUUAAGUGGGAAACGAUGUGGGAAGGCCCAGACAGCCAGGAUGUUGGCUUAGAAGCAGCCAUCAUUUAAAGAAAGCGUAAUAGCUCACUGGUCGAGUCGGCCUGCGCGGAAGAUGUAACGGGGCUAAACCAUGCACCGAAGCUGCGGCAGCGACACUGUGUGUUGUUGGGUAGGGGAGCGUUCUGUAAGCCUGUGAAGGUGUGUCGUGAGGCAUGCUGGAGGUAUCAGAAGUGCGAAUGCUGACAUAAGUAACGAUAAAGCGGGUGAAAAGCCCGCUCGCCGGAAGACCAAGGGUUCCUGUCCAACGUUAAUCGGGGCAGGGUGAGUCGACCCCUAAGGCGAGGCCGAAAGGCGUAGUCGAUGGGAAACGGGUUAAUAUUCCCGUACUUGGUGUUACUGCGAAGGGGGGACGGAGAAGGCUAUGUUGGCCGGGCGACGGUUGUCCCGGUUUAAGCGUGUAGGUGUGUGUUCCAGGUAAAUCCGGUUCACUUUAACACUGAGGCGUGACGACGAGGCACUACGGUGCUGAAGCAACAAAUGCCCUGCUUCCAGGAAAAGCCUCUAAGCAUCAGGUAACAUCAAAUCGUACCCCAAACCGACACAGGUGGUCAGGUAGAGAAUACCAAGGCGCUUGAGAGAACUCGGGUGAAGGAACUAGGCAAAAUGGUGCCGUAACUUCGGGAGAAGGCACGCUGACACGUAGGUGAAGUGAUUUACUCAUGGAGCUGAAGUCAGUCGAAGAUACCAGCUGGCUGCAACUGUUUAUUAAAAACACAGCACUGUGCAAACACGAAAGUGGACGUAUACGGUGUGACGCCUGCCCGGUGCCGGAAGGUUAAUUGAUGGGGUCAGCGCAAGCGAAGCUCCUGAUCGAAGCCCCGGUAAACGGCGGCCGUAACUAUAACGGUCCUAAGGUAGCGAAAUUCCUUGUCGGGUAAGUUCCGACCUGCACGAAUGGCGUAAUGAUGGCCAGGCUGUCUCCACCCGAGACUCAGUGAAAUUGAACUCGCUGUGAAGAUGCAGUGUACCCGCGGCAAGACGGAAAGACCCCGUGAACCUUUACUAUAGCUUGACACUGAACAUUGAGCCUUGAUGUGUAGGAUAGGUGGGAGGCUUUGAAGUGUGGACGCCAGUCUGCAUGGAGCCGACCUUGAAAUACCACCCUUUAAUGUUUGAUGUUCUAACGUGGACCCGUUACCCGGGUUGCGGACAGUGUCUGGUGGGUAGUUUGACUGGGGCGGUCUCCUCCUAAAGAGUAACGGAGGAGCACGAAGGUUGGCUAAUCCUGGUCGGACAUCAGGAGGUUAGUGCAAUGGCAUAAGCCAGCUUGACUGCGAGCGUGACGGCGCGAGCAGGUGCGAAAGCAGGUCAUAGUGAUCCGGUGGUUCUGAAUGGAAGGGCCAUCGCUCAACGGAUAAAAGGUACUCCGGGGAUAACAGGCUGAUACCGCCCAAGAGUUCAUAUCGACGGCGGUGUUUGGCACCUCGAUGUCGGCUCAUCACAUCCUGGGGCUGAAGUAGGUCCCAAGGGUAUGGCUGUUCGCCAUUUAAAGUGGUACGCGAGCUGGGUUUAGAACGUCGUGAGACAGUUCGGUCCCUAUCUGCCGUGGGCGCUGGAGAACUGAGGGGGGCUGCUCCUAGUACGAGAGGACCGGAGUGGACGCAUCACUGGUGUUCGGGUUGUCAUGCCAAUGGCACUGCCCGGUAGCUAAAUGCGGAAGAGAUAAGUGCUGAAAGCAUCUAAGCACGAAACUUGCCCCGA